This 301-nucleotide ribosomal RNA is filed under the name uncultured bacterium. RNAcentral's name for it is "partial 16S ribosomal RNA". It matches the Rfam family "Bacterial small subunit ribosomal RNA", at positions 509 to 809 of the family's 1533-position model. The record is from RNAcentral.
CAGUCGCCGCGGUAAUACGGAGGGUGCAAGCGUUAAUCGGAAUUACUGGGCGUAAAGCGCACGCAGGCGGUUUGUUAAGUCAGAUGUGAAAUCCCCGAGCUUAACUUGGGAACUGCAUUUGAAACUGGCAAGCUAGAGUCUUGUAGAGGGGGGUAGAAUUCCAGGUGUAGCGGUGAAAUGCGUAGAGAUCUGGAGGAACAUCAGUGGCGAAGGCGGCCAUCUGGGACAACACUGACGCUGAGGCACGAAAGCGUGGGGAGCAAACAGGAUUAGAUACCCGUGUAGUCCCUGUCUCUUAUAA